Long non-coding RNA from Neoarius graeffei (lesser salmon catfish), 627 nucleotides. RefSeq lists it as uncharacterized. The transcript is spliced from 3 exons. Lineage: Eukaryota; Metazoa; Chordata; Actinopteri; Siluriformes; Ariidae. The record is from RefSeq and is a predicted model, not a curated record.
UCCACCUCCCAUACACACACACACACACACACGUAGGUUUUCGCUCGGGUGGAAUUUGCUGGAGCCAAUACAUUUUUAGUAAAUUUAAGCAUACAGUAAAGGUUUACGGAUUACACACUCUAUGUCUUAUUAGUAGCGGCUGAAGACGUUGUUAUAAAUAGCAACACAGGAGCUCACACUACUUUAUAUACCACCGCCUGGACUUAGAGCAAAGGGUGUAGCAGAGACUGUGAGGUAAGAGCAGGGAGGAGUUCCCUGAGCUCAGGUUUCACUGUGGGAUCUCCUGAAUCCGUCUCACUCCUGACAGCUACCUCACCUGAGCACAUGCAAAACAACAGCAGGCUUUUCUUUAGUGCAUGUCGAAGCACACGCCAAACCUCAAUUGUGGCUCAACAGUUGGAAAACGAUGGCUCAGCGCUUAAGGAUCUGGGUUACUGAUCAGAAGGCAGGGGGUUCGAGCUGCCACUCUUGGGCCCUUGAGCGAGGCCCUUAACUCUUUCUAGUCCAGGAGUGCUGACCUUGCGUUUGUUCCAGCUCCACGAGUGCUGACCCAGCUUUCUCACAAGAAACUAAUUUCACUGUGCUGUCAUGUAUAUGUGACAAAUAAAGUCUUCUUCGAAUUACGUU